This 662-nucleotide long non-coding RNA is filed under the name Rattus norvegicus (Norway rat). Its description in RNAcentral is "long non-coding RNA NONRATT000847". Lineage: Eukaryota; Metazoa; Chordata; Mammalia; Rodentia; Muridae. The record is from RNAcentral.
UUAGACUUUUUUCAAAACCUACUUUAAUUAGGGUUCUUGAAAGCUUCAACAUCCUUCUAGUCCAACUACCAAGGUAGGGAAAAGAAAGGCUAAUAGGAAUUGAGGGUUAUGGAAGGGUUUAGAAGUAGUUCUUUAGGAAGAUUGGGAUAUCUCUGUGUCAGGAUAUUAGCAGUCCAGUCUAAGACAGCAGACAUGAGUCAGUAGCAGCAGUCCAGUCCAAUGGGCAAACAUCAAACAGGAAUCAGUAGCAGCAGUAGAUCCAGAAGAAACUGAGAGGCGCCACAGAUCAGCAGGAGUCAGCAGAAGUGGCAAGAAGCCACCUGGAUGUCCCAGGAAGUUCUUUGGCAAGCUAGUCCCUAUGGAGUCAAGACAAGCGAAGAUCAGCGACUCAGUGCAAGGCGACCCAAUGCAAGAGCCUUGUCACACUGUCUGUGGAGUAUGUUUAUAUUCUUUCCAACCAUCACACAUCCUUUCCCCUGUCUGCUUCAGAAAGACCUUCUCUCAGCUGUCUCUGCUUCAGCAAAAACAUAUGACGUAACUAAGUCCCCAAAGAAACCAGAAAUUUCCACUUCAAUGUACCUUCUGCAAAAAAAAAAAGGGGGGGGGUGUCAAUUCUUCUCUGGAUUUUGCUACAACAAAAUAAUCUGAAUUACAUGUUGGAC